Molecule: ribosomal RNA, 502 nt
Filed under: uncultured bacterium
Lineage: Bacteria
Description: bacterial SSU rRNA
Rfam family: Bacterial small subunit ribosomal RNA
Source: RNAcentral
GAGUUUGAUCAUGGCUCAGGACGAACGCUGGCGGCGUGCUUAACACAUGCAAGUCGAGCGAUGAAGCUUCCUUCGGGAAGUGGAUUAGCGGCGGACGGGUGAGUAACACGUGGGCAACCUGCCUCAAAGAGAGGAAUAGCCCUCCGAAAGGAGGAUUAAUACCGCAUAAAGUUAGAGUUUCGCAUGAAACUUUAACCAAAGGAGUAAUCCGCUUUGAGAUGGGCCCGCGUCCCAUUAGCUAGUUGGUAGGGUAAUGGCUUACCAAGGCAACGAUGGGUAGCCGACCUGAGAGGGUGAUCGGCCACAUUGGAACUGAGACACGGUCCAGACUCCUACGGGAGGCAGCAGUGGGGAAUAUUGCGCAAUGGGGGAAACCCUGACGCAGCAACGCCGCGUGGGUGAUGAAGGUUUUCGGAUCGUAAAACCCUGUUUUCUGGGACGAUAAUGACGGUACCAGAUGAGGAAGCCACGGCUAACUACGUGCCAGCAGCCGCGGUAAUAC